UAAUACGGAGGGUGCAAGCGUUGCUCGGAAUUACUGGGCGUAAAGCGUACGCAGGCGGCCAAUUAAGUCGGGUGUGAAAGCCCUGGGCUCAACCCAGGAACUGCAUUCGAAACUGGUUGGCUUGAGUGUGAGAGAGGGAAGUGGAAUUCCAGGUGUAGAGGUGAAAUUCGUUGAUAUCUGGAGGAACACCGGCGGCGAAGGCGGCUUCCUGGCUCACAACUGACGCUCAUGUACGAAAGCGUGGGUAGCAAACAGGAUUAGAUACCCUGGUAGUCCACGCCGUAAACGAUGUUUGCUAGGUGUUGGUGGAAUUUACCCCAUCAGUGCCGCAGUUAACGCAUUAAGCAAACCGCCUGGGGAGUACGGUCGCAAGAUUA
Molecule: ribosomal RNA, 377 nt
Filed under: uncultured delta proteobacterium
Lineage: Bacteria; Deltaproteobacteria
Description: bacterial SSU rRNA
Rfam family: Bacterial small subunit ribosomal RNA
Source: RNAcentral